ACGGUGAGUAACACGUAUCCAACCUGCCGUCUACUCUUGGCCAGCCUUCUGAAAGGAAGAUUAAUCCAGGAUGGCAUCAUGAGUUCACAUGUCCGCAUGAUUAAAGGUAUUUUCCGGUAGACGAUGGGGAUGCGUUCCAUUAGAUAGUAGGCGGGGUAACGGCCCACCUAGUCAACGAUGGAUAGGGGUUCUGAGAGGAAGGUCCCCCACAUUGGAGCUGAGACACGGUCCAA
RNAcentral lists this ribosomal RNA (233 nucleotides) under uncultured bacterium. Its description in RNAcentral is "partial 16S ribosomal RNA". It matches the Rfam family "Bacterial small subunit ribosomal RNA", at positions 105 to 334 of the family's 1533-position model. The record is from RNAcentral.